This 520-nucleotide ribosomal RNA is filed under the name uncultured Glomus. RNAcentral describes it as "SSU rRNA". It matches the Rfam family "Eukaryotic small subunit ribosomal RNA", at positions 569 to 1089 of the family's 1831-position model. Lineage: Eukaryota; Fungi; Glomeromycota; Glomeromycetes; Glomerales; Glomeraceae. The record is from RNAcentral.
AGCAGCCGCGGUAAUUCCAGCUCCAAUAGCGUAUAUUAAAGUUGUUGCAGUUAAAAAGCUCGUAGUUGAAUUUCGGGGUUAGUAGGUUGGUCAUGCCUCUGGUAUGUACUGGUCUCACUGAUUCCUCCUUCCUGAUGAACCUUAAUGCCAUUAAUUUGGUGUUUUGGGGAAUUUGGACUGUUACUUUGAAAAAUUAGAGUGUUUAAAGCAAGCUAACGCUUGAAUACAUUAGCAUGGAAUAAUGAAAUAGGACGUUCGAUCCUAUUUUGUUGGUUUCUAGGAUUGACGUAAUGAUUAAUAGGGAUAGUUGGGGGCAUUAGUAUUCAAUUGUCAGAGGUGAAAUUCUUGGAUUUAUUGAAGACUAACUACUGCGAAAGCAUUUUGCCAAGGAUGUUUUCAUUAAUCAAGAACGAAAGUUAGGGGAUCGAAGACGAUCAGAUACCGUCGUAGUCUUAACCAUAAACUAUGCCGACUAGGGAUCGGAUGAUGUUAAUUUUUUCAAUGACUCAUUCGGCGCCUU